GACAGAGGUGCCAAGCGUUAGGCGGAAUCACUGGGCUUAAAGCGUGUGUAGGCGGAUUGGUAAGUACCUUGUGAAAUCCCACGGCUCAACCGUGGAACCGCUGGGUAUACUGCGGGUCUUGGGCCGACUAGGGGCAGCCGGAACAAGCGGUGGAGCGGUGAAAUGCGUAGAUAUCGCUUGGAACGCCAAUGGUGAAAACAGGUAGCUGGGGCUGUGCUGACGCUGAGACACGAAAGCCAGGGGAGCAAACGGG
RNAcentral lists this ribosomal RNA (253 nucleotides) under uncultured bacterium. RNAcentral describes it as "partial 16S ribosomal RNA". It matches the Rfam family "Bacterial small subunit ribosomal RNA", at positions 524 to 776 of the family's 1533-position model. The record is from RNAcentral.